RNAcentral lists this ribosomal RNA (253 nucleotides) under uncultured bacterium. RNAcentral's name for it is "partial 16S ribosomal RNA". It matches the Rfam family "Bacterial small subunit ribosomal RNA", at positions 524 to 776 of the family's 1533-position model. The record is from RNAcentral.
UACGUAGGGGGCGAGCGUUGUCCGGAAUUAUUGGGCGUAAAGCGCGCGCAGGCGGUUCACUAAGUCUGAUGUGAAAGCCCCCGGCUUAACCGGGGAGGGUCAUUGGAAACUGGUGGACUUGAGUGCAGGAGAGGAGAGUGGAAUUCCACGUGUAGCGGUGAAAUGCGUAGAGAUGUGGAGGAACACCAGUGGCGAAGGCGGCUCUCUGGCCUGUAACUGACGCUGAGGCGCGAAAGCGUGGGGAGCAAACAGG